Molecule: long non-coding RNA, 491 nt
Filed under: Fukomys damarensis (Damara mole-rat)
Lineage: Eukaryota; Metazoa; Chordata; Mammalia; Rodentia; Bathyergidae
Description: lncRNA (ENSFDAG00000023267.1)
Source: RNAcentral
AGUAGCUGCACACUAGCAGUCUGGAGUACCACCUUACUUCUGUGCACUUCCUGUUUUUAGAGGCGAGCUUGCUCUUGGGAUUAGAUCAAGAUAGCAGGUAAAGGACCCCAUCCAUGUCCCUAUGUCUCAGAAAACCCCAGACAGAAAACAGACCAGAAAUAAUGAUGACACUGACCAGAGGAGAGGAAACUACAACCCAGCAAACACGGGACCACGGGAGCAAACUAUUGGGAAGGGAAAAGCAGACUGAGAGGGAUUCCCAGCUGGAGGAUGAGCUGGGAUUGCCUGUCCGCAAAAAGAAAACAGAGUCUGUCAACCCUAGCAGAAAUGCGCAGUUCAGGUGGCAGAGGAGUUAACUCUCUGGAAGAUUACAGAGAUUGUUGCCCACUGCUAUGUAAAGGGAGCAACCAUAGGUAAGAAGGAUUUCUGGGGAGUCGAAAAGGUAUGAUUAACACAUUUUAAAAAUCUCAGGGGUAAAAUAUAAUUCAGAG